CGCCUCUUGAAACUAAAAAUAUAAGAGGUCCCGCCUGCCCUGUGAUAAUAAUUUAACGGCCGCGGUAUUCUGACCGUGCGAAGGUAGCGAAAUCACUUGUCUUUUAAAUGAAGACCUGUAUGAAUGGCACGACGAGGGCUUGACUGUCUCCUUUUUCAAGUCAAUGAAAUUGAUCUCCCCGUGCAGAAGCGGGGAUAAGAACAUAAGACGAGAAGACCCUAUGGAGCUUCAGACACCAAGAUAGACCAUGUUAAGUACCCCUAAUAUAAAGGACUAAACAAAAUGAGACCUAUCGUAAUGUCUUUGGUUGGGGCGACCACGGGGAAAUAAAAAACCCCCACGUGGAAUGGGAGUACCCCUCCUAAAACCAAGAGCCACAGCUCUAAUUAACAGAACUUCUGACCAGUCAGAUCCGGCAAUCCCGAUCAACGGACCGAGUUACCCUAGGGAUAACAGCGCAAUCCCCUUUCAGAGCCCAUAUCGACAAGGGGGUUUACGACCUCGAUGUUGGAUCAGGACAUCCUAAUGGUGCAGCCGCUAUUAAGGGUUCGUUUGUUCAACGAUUAAAGUCCU
Molecule: ribosomal RNA, 573 nt
Filed under: Chironemus delfini
Lineage: Eukaryota; Metazoa; Chordata; Actinopteri; Centrarchiformes; Chironemidae
Description: partial 16S ribosomal RNA
Rfam family: Bacterial large subunit ribosomal RNA
Source: RNAcentral